Molecule: non-coding RNA, 58 nt
Organism: Aedes albopictus (Asian tiger mosquito)
Lineage: Eukaryota; Metazoa; Arthropoda; Insecta; Diptera; Culicidae
Source: Rfam
UAGCCUCGUGGUUAAGGCUAUGGAUUGCCAAUCCGGAGACGGCGGGUUCGAUUCCCGU